Molecule: ribosomal RNA, 860 nt
Filed under: uncultured bacterium
Lineage: Bacteria
Description: bacterial SSU rRNA
Rfam family: Bacterial small subunit ribosomal RNA
Source: RNAcentral
GUAGAUCCAGNGUAGCGUGAAUGCGUAGAAGAUCUGGAGGAAUACNGUUNNGANGCGNCCCUGACGAAGACUGANGCUCAGNUGCGAAAGCGUGGGGAGCAAACAGGAUUAGAUACCUGGUAGUCCACGCGUAAACGAUGUCGACUUGGAGGUUGUGCCCUUGAGGCGUGGCUUCCGGAGCUAACGCGUUAAGUCGACCGCCUGGGGAGUACGGCCGCAAGGUUAAAACUCAAAUGAAUUGACGGGGGCCCGCACAAGCGGUGGAGCAUGUGGUUUAAUUCGAUGCAACGCGAAGAACCUUACCUGGUCUUGACAUCCACGGAAGUUUUCAGAGAUGAGAAUGUGCCUUCGGGAACCGUGAGACAGGUGCUGCAUGGCUGUCGUCAGCUCGUGUUGUGAAAUGUUGGGUUAAGUCCCGCAACGAGCGCAACCCUUAUCCUUUGUUGCCAGCGGUCCGGCCGGGAACUCAAAGGAGACUGCCAGUGAUAAACUGGAGGAAGGUGGGGAUGACGUCAAGUCAUCAUGGCCCUUACGACCAGGGCUACACACGUGCUACAAUGGCGCAUACAAAGAGAAGCGACCUCGCGAGAGCAAGCGGACCUCAUAAAGUGCGUCGUAGUCCGGAUUGGAGUCUGCAACUCGACUCCAUGAAGUCGGAAUCGCUAGUAAUCGUGGAUCAGAAUGCCACGGUGAAUACGUUCCCGGGCCUUGUACACACCGCCCGUCACACCAUGGGAGUGGGUUGCAAAAGAAGUAGGUAGCUUAACCUUCGGGAGGGCGCUUACCACUUUGUGAUUCAUGACUGGGGUGAAGUCGUAACAAGGUAACCGUAGGGGAACCUGCGGCUGGAUCACCUCCUU